This 26-nucleotide non-coding RNA is filed under the name Homo sapiens (human). Lineage: Eukaryota; Metazoa; Chordata; Mammalia; Primates; Hominidae. The record is from RNAcentral.
UCCAGCAGAUAGAAGCCAAGGGUGUU